Molecule: ribosomal RNA, 489 nt
Filed under: uncultured bacterium
Lineage: Bacteria
Description: partial 16S ribosomal RNA
Rfam family: Bacterial small subunit ribosomal RNA
Source: RNAcentral
GACGAACGCUGGCGGCGUGCUUAACACAUGCAAGUCGAACGGAAAGGCCCCCAUCUUGGUGGGGGUGCUCGAGUGGCGAACGGGUGAGUAACACGUGGGUGAUCUGCCCUGUACUUCGGGAUAAGCUUGGGAAACUGGGUCUAAUACCGGAUAGGACCAUGGUUUAGUGUCUCAUGGUGGAAAGAUUAUUGUUUUGGUGCAGGAUGAGCUCGCGGCCUAUCAGCUUGUUGGUGGGGUAAUGGCCUACCAAGGCGUCGACGGGUAGCCGGCCUGAGAGGGUGGACGGCCACAUUGGGACGGAGAGACGGCCCAGACUCCUACGGGAGGCAGCAGUGGGGAAUAUUGCACAAUGGGCGCAAGCCUGAUGCAGCGACGCCGCGUGGGGGAUGACGGCCUUCGGGUUGUAAACUCCUUUCGUGAGGGACGAAGCCGCACUUUUUUUGGGUGUGGUGACGGUACCUUUGUUAAGAAGCACCGGCUAACUACGUG